This 234-nucleotide long non-coding RNA is filed under the name Brassica napus (rape). Its description in RNAcentral is "long non-coding RNA (BNAP_LNC025196)". Lineage: Eukaryota; Viridiplantae; Streptophyta; Magnoliopsida; Brassicales; Brassicaceae. The record is from RNAcentral.
AUGGAGGUAUGAGAAUCAACCAAAAACUGCUGAAACAAACGCUUAGAAUGCAGAAGUGUAUGACACUCAUUCUCCCUUUCCCGUAGACGAAACGCAUACCACUGCCUCAUACUAAUAGUCUGUCUCUUUAGUUUAGCAGUAGCCUCUGUCUCUCUCUUUUUAAUCUCAAGUCUGAAACCAUCUUCACCAUAAGUAAAUAUUAGAGGAUAUUGAAGUGCCAAGUAAGAAGGGUGA